GAUGAACGCUGGCGGCGUGCCUAAUACAUGCAAAUCGAGCGAACAGACGAGGAGCUUGCUCCUCUGACGUUAGCGGCGGACGGGUGAGUAACACGUGGAUAACCUACCUAAAGACUGGGAUAACUUCGGGAAACCGGAGCUAAUACCGGAUAAUAUAUUGAACCGCAUGGUUCAAUAGUGAAAGACGGUUUUGCUGUCACUUAUAGAUGGAUCCGCGCCGCAUUAGCUAGUUGGUAAGGUAACGGCUUACCAAGGCAACGAUGCGUAGCCGACCUGAGAGGGUGAUCGGCCACACUGGAACUGAGACACGGUACAGACUCCUACGGGAGGCAGCAGUAGGGAAUCUUCCGCAAUGGGCGAAAGCUUGACGGAGCAACGCCGCGUGAGUGAUGAAGGUCUUCGGAUCGUAAAACUCUGUUAUUAGGGAAGAACAAAUGUGUAAGUAACUAUGCACGUCUUGACGGUACCUAAUCAGAAAGCCACGGCUAACUACGUG
This 496-nucleotide ribosomal RNA is filed under the name uncultured bacterium. RNAcentral's name for it is "partial 16S ribosomal RNA". It matches the Rfam family "Bacterial small subunit ribosomal RNA", at positions 28 to 507 of the family's 1533-position model. The record is from RNAcentral.